GUGAAUACGUUCCCGGGCCUUGUACACACCGCCCGUCACACCAUGGGAGUGGGUUGCAAAAGAAGUAGGUAGCUUAACCUUCGGGAGGGCGCUUACCACUUUGUGAUUCAUGACUGGGGGGAAGUCGUAACAAGGUAACCGUAGGGGAACCUGCGGUUGGAUCACCUCCUUACCUUAAAGAA
This 182-nucleotide ribosomal RNA is filed under the name Klebsiella variicola. RNAcentral describes it as "partial 16S ribosomal RNA". It matches the Rfam family "Bacterial small subunit ribosomal RNA", at positions 1362 to 1533 of the family's 1533-position model. The record is from RNAcentral. Lineage: Bacteria; Pseudomonadati; Pseudomonadota; Gammaproteobacteria; Enterobacterales; Enterobacteriaceae.